AACGAACGCUGGCGGCAGGCUUAACACAUGCAAGUCGAACGCCCCGCCAGGGGAGUGGCAGACGGGUGAGUACCGCGUGGGAACAUACCCUUUCCUGCGGAAUAGCUCCGGGAAACUGGAAUUAAUACCGCAUACGCCCUACGGGGGAAAGAUUUAUCGGGGAAGGAUUGGCCCGCGUUGGAUUAGCUAGUUGGUGUGGUAAAGGCCUACCAAGGCGACGAUCCAUAGCUGGUCUGAGAGGAUGAUCAGCCACAUUGGGACUGAGACACGGCCCAAACUCCUACGGGAGGCAGCAGUGGGGAAUAUUGGACAAUGGGCGCAAGCCUGAUCCAGCCAUGCCGCGUGAGUGAUGAAGGCCUUAGGGUUGUAAAGCUCUUUCACCGAUGAAGAUAAUGACGGUAGUCGGAGAAGAAGCCCCGGCUAACUUCGUG
RNAcentral lists this ribosomal RNA (431 nucleotides) under uncultured bacterium. RNAcentral describes it as "partial 16S ribosomal RNA". It matches the Rfam family "Bacterial small subunit ribosomal RNA", at positions 29 to 507 of the family's 1533-position model. The record is from RNAcentral.